RNAcentral lists this ribosomal RNA (572 nucleotides) under uncultured bacterium. Its description in RNAcentral is "bacterial SSU rRNA". It matches the Rfam family "Bacterial small subunit ribosomal RNA", at positions 356 to 920 of the family's 1533-position model. The record is from RNAcentral.
GGGGAAUUUUUCGCAAUGGGGGCAACCCUGACGAAGCAAUGCCGCGUGAAUGAAGAAGGCCUUCGGGUUGUAAAGUUCUUUCGUGGAAGACGAAAAGGUGGGUGCUAAUAUCGCCUACUGUUGACGUGAAUCCAAGAAGAAGCACCGGCUAACUCCGUGCCAGCAGCCGCGGUAAUACGGGGGGUGCAAGCGUUAAUCGGAAUCACUGGGCGUAAAGGGCGCGUAGGCGGUGCAUUACGUCUGUCGUGAAAUCCCCGGGCUCAACCUGGGAAUGGCGGUGGAAACGGGUGUACUAGAGUAUGGGAGAGGGUGAUGGAAUUCCAGGUGUAGCGGUGAAAUGCGUAGAGAUCUGGAGGAACAUCAGUGGCGAAGGCGGUCACCUGGCCCAAUACUGACGCUGAGGCGCGAAAGCGUGGGGAGCAAACAGGAUUAGAUACCCUGGUAGUCCACGCCCUAAACGAUGGAUACUAGAUGUUUGGUGCCAAGCGUGCUGAGUGUCGUAGCUAACGCGAUAAGUAUCCCGCCUGGGAAGUACGGCCGCAAGGUUAAAACUCAAAGGAAUUGACGGGGGC